AAAACUUUAUCACACUUGGUGAUAUUGGUUAAAUGAUCACAUGGCGUUAUGGACCUUGGUUAGAACCAAAUCCUCAAAGAUAAGUCACCAUGAUGCCCCUCUUUACAUCUUUCUUCCGAUUCCUGAUCUUUUUUCUCCAUUCCAUAGGAUUAAAAGCCAAGCAAUACACUCUCUCCAGUAUUACUUUCAAUGGCCUUCUUUGUAUUUGUCCAUAAAAAUCACCUUACCCAAUUUUGUUAUUUUGUACUCAAUCGAUGUCAGACUUAUAUCUACUUGCAGUGUGAUAGGUUCAGGGGGAAGUAUAUGUUAGAAGGAAUAAGGGUAACAGACAGUUAUAACUGUCUGUGAGGUGGGUUGUUGUAAACAGACUAUUAUAUAUAGUCUGUACAGGGGUUGUUUUCAGUACUUUUUUUUGGAGAAAAUUGGAAGUGAAAGGAAGGGAGAGUCAGGUCCUCUCGAAAGACCUGGGAUUUGUGUGUGUACCAGUCAUUAGAUACAGACUAAGCUUUCUGGUUUUCAUAGGAAGAUCAUCCAAGAACCUGUUUUGGAGUUCUUUACAGUGUUAAUAAAAUCUGGGUACCUAUCACAGUGAAUUUUGCAUCACAUUCUUUUCUGUAGGCACACAUCUGCUAUUCUCACCUUUAUCUCCUUUUGUCCCUCUAAAGUUCAACAAUCACUAUCUUAGAGUAUUGUUAGACAUAUAAUAGCACAGAAAAUAUCCUUCAAGCUUGCUAUGUGAUCAUAAAUAGCCCCAAUUGGCUUUCUUCAUCUUGGCCAUUCAACUAAUAUCUUUUUGUGUAAAAUUCUUGUUAAUUUUCUCAUCAUUGUGUAAUGUUGGUGACAGAUAUUUGAACUUUGAAACAUGUGGAUGACGUAUUUUUCCCUUUAUUACCUCUAAGUCAGUUUUUUGCUAAAUUUGCUAUGUUGUCUACUUUUAGUUAAGCAAAAUCCCUUUGAUUCCAAAUUUAUUUUCCUCUCCCAAGCUUAAAUUCAAAUUUGACCACUCUCCUUGAUGAAAAUAUAGCUUUAAAUGUGUCUCUUUUUUAGAGUUCUUUAGCUUCAUAGGCAUUCAUUGGCUAACUACUUGGAAAUGGGGAGUUUUAUUUUCAUGUAAUUCAUUUGGUAAAUUGAUAGCAUUGGAGUUGUGUUAAUUUAUAGUAAGACUAGUUCUGUUGAGUUUUCUUCGAAGUUUAGCUUCCAUGUUUUUCCCCUUUAAUAGAGGAAUUCUUUCUUUAAAAUCUCAUUUGAAAGUCCAAACUUCCAUCUAUACCACGUCUUCUGUUUGAACAGAGACUCGGUGAUUUAUAAUUAUAGGUUAACUUUUAUAGACGUAAAGUUGUUUAGUCCUCUAAUAGUUGUGUGAUGUAUUCUAAUAAAGAAGUAUACAGUUUCUUUUGCAUGCUUAUUUGGAGUAGGAAUCUUCACCUUUCUGGGUCUUCCUUGGAUUAUGGCAAAUUGUUUUAGAAGUAAAAGGUUUUGAUGAGUACGAAGUUGUUGGAUUGUAGCAUUGUGAUACGAUGAUCUUUAUGCUCUCUGUUUGGAGGGAAAUGGUAAGAUUUUAAGGGGAAAUUCCAUCUCUUGUGGUGAAAAACAAAGCCGUUUCCACGACCUCUCUUACCUCUUAUUCUCUGCUAGCCAGUUUAGCAUUUUAUUUUUGUUUGAAAGAAUCUUGGUAUAUAUGCACAGGGAUAGUAAAUGUCUUGUGUGUAAUGGAAUGGGAAUGGAUUUUCCCUUUUAAGCUACUGAUUUUCGUGCUUUGUUUCAAGGAAUCAGUAAUGCAUUUCCUUAUCUGUAAGGAAUCAAUCAUGCAUUUCUGCUAACUGUUUUUGUGAUAAGGUAAUUAUUGUUUGAAGAAAUUUCAAAUUUUGAGAUUUUCAUACUGCUGCUCAUAGAAAAGUCAAUUACUGCGCUGUGUCUUGCCUUGCCAUGUUAAAAUUGGGGUCCACUUCCUUGAAGC
This 1957-nucleotide long non-coding RNA is filed under the name Vigna radiata. RNAcentral describes it as "long non-coding RNA (VRAD_LNC000929)". The record is from RNAcentral. Lineage: Eukaryota; Viridiplantae; Streptophyta; Magnoliopsida; Fabales; Fabaceae.